GUAACUGUGUAUAUAUAAAGAGAUAGUUUGGAUCAUACGAUAUUAGUAUUGACUACUGAAGGAAAAUAAGUCCUUUCAUUUCACAUCGUUAUCGUGGUCUCGCAGUAAAUCUGAAGACAUGAAAGCCGUCAUCUUAAUUUUAUGUGUGAUAGCCAUCUCCCUAACAGAGGCCUAUUACUAUAGGCAUGGUGGUUAUCGCCGUAUGUACAGACCCCCGAAACCCCCUGUUCCACCAAUUAAUCCACCAGUUCCACCAGUUAAUCCAAGUAAGUCUUUAGCCUCGGCAACUAUCUUCAUAUUAUACACACAUAUAUACAUACAUGCAUACAUACAACACAAACGCAGGCACAGACACACACACAUACAUGUACAUAUAUAUUCAUUCAUCUAUGCGCGUUUAUGUACAUAUAUAUUUGUGUGUGUGUGUGUGUGUGUGUGUGUGUGUGUGUGUGUGUGUGUGUGUGUGUGUAUGAAUGCAUGUUCUCUUUCUCUUACUCAUUUUAAUUUAGAGUAAAUUUUGACCAGCCACCUACUUCAUAGCAAGAGUGUAAAAGAAAGUAUCUUGUUUUAACCAUCAUCCUUUACUUCUUAAGAAGGUCUUGCAGAUUUUUAUAGUUUCAGAUAUUGUGAUCGUUUGUAGCAUAGGAAUUAAGGAUUUGCAUCUCUCCCUAAGAUUCCAAGAUCAGCCAUACUUUGCAGCAGACUGGCUGGUAUAUCAUGUUGCUCAAGUAAUAAUGGGUAUGAAGCUGAAAGUGUAUAUUGGGUUCUGGAUUGGCAAACUCCUUAUCAAUGGUCCAUAAAUGUCCUCUUUUUCAUGCUUCUUUAUAACCACCAUCGUGUCCAAAGGGCAGCUGAUUUCCUCAACAGAACAAGUCUUUUCUUUGUGGUCCCACACAACGAUAUCUAGCCGGUUGCGUUUUAACUUGGUGGCUGAUUUAAUUUUUAAGUUCCACCAAAUAUUCUUUUGACCUCUCGAUGUCAAUAUAGUAGACUUCGUUUGUAUUUUCAGUUUUGUUAUUCUGUUCCAGAUUGUUCUAGCCACCGUAUCAUGCCCCGUGGGAAAAUAUUAUUUGAAAGACAUUCUCGCGCAGUUGACAAUAACGUGGUUGAUGUCUUCGGUCUUCAGUCUUAGCCUAUAUUUACUGUCGGUCAACGUUUUCUGCCUUUUAUGCUGUAGAUGUUUGGUGGAGAUACAUAUUCUAGAAUUGAAUGGAUGUAGCCUUCAAAGUGGGAUAUCAUAAACUUGUCGGUACACCAUGUCAAGCUUUUCACAUGAUCAAUCCCUUCUAUCGUUUGUGUUUUACAUGCCAAGUACCCAUGUGCUAUCUUAUCAGUGAAGUGGUCCUUUUUUUCUGUUGUGCUGAUAAAUAGAUUUUAACAACGCUCCUUGGAGAAAGAUCUGUAGCAGCUCUUAUUUUAUGCCUCUCCUGAAGUUCAUUAGCAAUCCUAAUUAUGGUGUUGGUUUCAUGGUCACAAACCUUGGCAAGAUAGUUACGGGUCUCUUUUCUCUGCAAAUCGUUCUGGUUUGGUCAGCCCGAGACUAUAGUAGAUGACAUUUGCCCAAGGUGUCAUGCAACAAACUAUGUUCUUGGUAAACAGACUUCUUACCACACAGCCAUAUUUGUACAUAUGUGUUCUCUUUCUGUUUCUAAUGUAGAAUAAAUUUUGACUGGCCACCUACUUAGUAAGCAAGGUUGUGAAGGUGUGAUGCUAAAUACGUGUGGCAAUGCUACUGGUUUCACGAUGAAAACAGGACUUAUCUACAAGUCCGCGAACCCGAGGGCCUUCAAAAACUGGUUCAUCCAAUGCUUCAUCCCUCAAGCAAAAGACUUAGUAAAUUAAAUCAAAUUAACUUAAUACAAUACAGUCAGGUCUUUUUUAUGCGUGAAAAUCUAAUAUAAAUAACACGGUUUCACCCGUUGGUAUUUUUGUAAUAUUUGGUUCUCAGAAAUCUGAGUUAAAUAGACCUAACCCUUUACCUUAUUCUCCCAUACAGCCCUAAGCUGCCCAGGAAAUGUAGGCGGUAAAUUGCUUUUUUGCUCUCCGAACUGUCUCAAACCGAGCUUUGUUCCUGUAAGCGGAGUCCCUGGAUGUUAUGCUGGAUUAACUUGUUGCACUCAAGUAUAAAAAAUUAUG
This 2136-nucleotide long non-coding RNA is filed under the name Octopus vulgaris (common octopus). The record is from RNAcentral. Lineage: Eukaryota; Metazoa; Mollusca; Cephalopoda; Octopoda; Octopodidae.